CCGGAGGGUGCAAGCGUUGUCCGGAUUUAUUGGGUUUAAAGGGUGCGUAGGCGGCCCGGUAAGUCAGUGGUGAAAGCCUCCAGCUCAACUGGAGAACUGCCAUUGAUACUGCCGGGCUUGAGUACAGACGAGGUUGGCGGAAUUGAUUGUGUAGCGGUGAAAUGCAUAGAUACAAUCAAGAACUCCGAUUGCGUAGGCAGCUAACUAGGCUGUAACUGACGCUGAGGCACGAAAGCGUGGGGAGCGAACAGGAUUAGAUACCCUGGUAGUCCACGCUGUAAACGAUGAUUACUCGAUGUUGGCGAUAAACUGUCAGCGUCUUAGCGAAAGCGUUAAGUAAUCCACCUGGGGAGUACGCCCGCAAGGGUG
RNAcentral lists this ribosomal RNA (369 nucleotides) under uncultured organism. Its description in RNAcentral is "bacterial SSU rRNA". It matches the Rfam family "Bacterial small subunit ribosomal RNA", at positions 525 to 896 of the family's 1533-position model. The record is from RNAcentral.